CCUACGGGAGGCUGCAGUGGGGAAUAUUGCGCAAUGGGCGAAAGCCUGACGCAGCGACGCCGCGUGAGGGAUGAAGGUCUUCGGAUCGUAAACCUCUGUCAGCAGGGAAGAACGGUCACUGUGCUAAUCAGCAGUGAAUUGACGGUACCUGCAAAGGAAGCACCGGCUAACUCCGGGCCAGCAGCCGCGGUAAUACGGAGGGUGCGAGCGUUAAUCGGAAUUACUGGGCGUAAAGCGCUCGUAGGCGGUAUGUCAAGUCAAGGGGGAAAUCCCCGCGCGCAACGUGGGAACUGCCUUUGAAACUGGCAAACUGGAGUGUGUGAGAGGAGAGUGGAAUUCCAGGUGUAGGAGUGAAAUCCGUAGAUAUCUGGAGGAACAUCAGUGGCGAAGGCGACUAUCUGGCACAUAACUGACGCUGAGGAGCGAAAGCGUGGGUAGCAAACAGGAUUAGAUACCCCAGUAGUC
This 465-nucleotide ribosomal RNA is filed under the name uncultured bacterium. RNAcentral's name for it is "partial 16S ribosomal RNA". It matches the Rfam family "Bacterial small subunit ribosomal RNA", at positions 338 to 795 of the family's 1533-position model. The record is from RNAcentral.